This 196-nucleotide long non-coding RNA is filed under the name Capra hircus (goat). RNAcentral's name for it is "lncRNA (ENSCHIG00000000884.1)". Lineage: Eukaryota; Metazoa; Chordata; Mammalia; Artiodactyla; Bovidae. The record is from RNAcentral.
CUCAGGUUUUAACUUGUAAUAAUGGUGACACCAGUGAUAGCUGUACACAUGGCAUCCACUCGGGUGGUCCUUACAGCCACACUAAGAGAUGAUGAGUCUCCGAAGAAAGAAAAGGAAAAGUUACAAACCUCUGGAUCCCCAGGACCCACAUAGUCACAGAGAGGCAGUUCAGAUUCACAGAAGAAGGAAAAAGAAU